CCUACGGGCGGCAGCAGUGGGGAAUAUUGGACAAUGGGGGCAACCCUGAUCCAGCCAUGCCGCGUGUGUGAAGAAGGCCCUCGGGUUGUAAAGCACUUUCAGUGAGGAAGAACGCCUGGUGGUUAAUACCCAUCAGGAAAGACAUCACUCACAGAAGAAGCACCGGCUAACUCCGUGCCAGCAGCCGCGGUAAUACGGAGGGUGCGAGCGUUAAUCGGAAUUACUGGGCGUAAAGCGCGCGUAGGUGGCUUGAUAAGCCGGUUGUGAAAGCCCCGGGCUCAACCUGGGAACGGCAUCCGGAACUGUCAAGCUAGAGUGCAGGAGAGGAAGGUAGAAUUACUGGUGUAGCGGUGAAAUGCGUAGAGAUCGGGAGGAAUACCCGUGGCGAAGGCGGCCUUCUGGACUGACACUGACACUGAGGUGCGAAAGCGUGGGUAGCAAACAGGAUUAGAUACCCCUGUAGUC
RNAcentral lists this ribosomal RNA (465 nucleotides) under Vreelandella stevensii. Its description in RNAcentral is "partial 16S ribosomal RNA". It matches the Rfam family "Bacterial small subunit ribosomal RNA", at positions 338 to 795 of the family's 1533-position model. Lineage: Bacteria; Pseudomonadati; Pseudomonadota; Gammaproteobacteria; Oceanospirillales; Halomonadaceae. The record is from RNAcentral.